GGCCGGCUGGCCUAAUGGUAAGGCGUCUCUUUCCGGUGGAGAAGAUUGCAGGUUCGAAUCCUGCGUCGGUCG
This 72-nucleotide transfer RNA is filed under the name Coccidioides posadasii C735 delta SOWgp. Its description in RNAcentral is "tRNA-Arg (CCG) (tRNA-Arg-CCG-1-1, tRNA-Arg-CCG-1-2)". It matches the Rfam family "tRNA". From Rfam's summary of the family: Transfer RNA (tRNA) molecules are approximately 80 nucleotides in length. Their secondary structure includes four short double-helical elements and three loops (D, anti-codon, and T loops). RNAcentral also lists the same sequence under 13 other names. Lineage: Eukaryota; Fungi; Ascomycota; Eurotiomycetes; Onygenales; Onygenaceae. The record is from RNAcentral.